RNAcentral lists this ribosomal RNA (254 nucleotides) under uncultured bacterium. RNAcentral's name for it is "partial 16S ribosomal RNA". It matches the Rfam family "Bacterial small subunit ribosomal RNA", at positions 524 to 776 of the family's 1533-position model. The record is from RNAcentral.
UACAGAGGGUGCAAGCGUUGUUCGGAAUUAUUGGGCGUAAAGGGCGUGUAGGCGGUUUGCUAGGUCAUGUGUGAAAUCCCCCGGCUUAACCGAGGAACGACGCAUGAUACUGGCAAGCUAGAGUACCAAAGAGGGGGGUGGAAUUCCCGGUGUAGCGGUGAAAUGCGUAGAUAUCUGGAGGAACACCGGUGGCGAAGGCGGCAUCCUGGACCAACACUGACGCUGAGUGAGCGAAAGCCAGGGGAGCAAACGGG